This is a long non-coding RNA of Triticum dicoccoides, 1692 nucleotides long. RefSeq lists it as uncharacterized. The transcript is spliced from 3 exons. NCBI's taxonomy places the organism in Eukaryota, Viridiplantae, Streptophyta, Magnoliopsida, Poales, Poaceae. The record is from RefSeq and is a predicted model, not a curated record.
AUACUUUUGGGGAAUGAUUUCCGUGCUAUACUAAACCAGGUCUCGUAAAUGAAAUUAAGGGCAUCGUCAUGGAUCUCAUCUCUCCUAUGGCCUGGUUAGAAGACUAGCAAUUUUAACGCAUCGACAAGACGGCGGCGAUGAAAAUGCUGCUUAUUGCUUGAUUUUAUUCUUCAUGGAUUCAUCCUAGACUAUAUUCUGCACUGCUAAAAAGCUGGAGGAGAUUAGGGAGAUCAGCAAAAUCUGGUGGGAGCUGGCCGGUGAAGUUCUGGCCCCUGAGGAAUCUGCGAAGAUGUUCGGAACAGCGCAAAAGGUAUCCCCUAAUGUUUUACAAGAAGGUGAGAAGCGCCAAGGAGUCAUGCAUGCAUACAUACAUCUCAGUGGCAUGGCACAUGGUAUUGUUGUCGAAGGAGCAGUCACACUCCAAGCCGCCGCCGGAGCCACACGGAUUGGCGGAGAAGUUCCAAUGCGAUAUUCCCAUAUUCACCGCGAUCCGGCGAAGAGUGCGCACUGCAAGAAUUGCAAAAAGGAAAGAAAAGAAUCAUGAACACGGCUUGAGCACAUCCUUCUUCUCCAUUACAUUUACAUCCACUUGUACGCGGAGGAAGGAAGCACACAGCAAAGCAGUAGCCUACAGUACUUGUUGCUACAGGGUUUGCAUUCCUUUGGAAGAAAAGAUAUCCAAGAUUCUCGAUCUUCCUCUGUUGUUUAGAGAUUUUUUUGCAUGUAUUCUUGAACUAAAGUGAGGCAGUGAUUCGUUCUUUUUGCAGAACUCAUCUAACAGUCCCAAGCAAAGAAGACCAAAAUGGGAGAAGCAAAGGGACGAAAAAAGGGAAGGAUGAGGAGAAAAGAGCAGGCAAAUUAAGCCUGGGAAGCAAAAGACAUGCUCUGCUUAUCACAGUCAUCUCUCUUUCUAAACCAGCGAGCCGAACGCGGAGGAGAGGGGAGGGGAAUCGCCCGAUGGCAGAGAUGGAGCAAUGCAUUUGCAGGUGCUGAGCACACGUACCUUCAGCAGGGAAGAGCCUAGAGGUAGGAGGGAGGGCAUCAACCCCUGGAGACGAAGAGCCAUGGACCUCGGCAAGCAGCCCAAGGAAGAAGAGCAGUCUCCAGCCGCAUGCGCAUGGCAUCCUCCGCGCCCCCAUCUCUCUCCUCCAGCUCCAAGGUCCAACCACGCCAGCUGAUGUUCCUAGUCCAAGUGGAGCGCAAUGGCAGUGGCGAGGUCCGUCUCAGACUCUCGGGAGAGGAUGAGUGGAGUGACUUGGCUUUCUAUGCAAAAAGGAAGCAGUCCAAGUCCGUCCAGGAUCUUUCCAAUUUUCCGAGCGAGUGCAGUGCGUCUUUACUUUUCCCUCUCUUCUCCCAGGGGCGCAGUGCGUCUUAACUUUUCUGAUUUUCUCCGGCAUGGUUCAGGCCCUCAGACUGUGUCCGCAUUGCUCCGCGAGUACGCACAGUUGCACUUGUUUUGGUACUGCCGUCCCGUGCCCUGCGCAGAACGUGGACCUGGGUCGGCCGCGAGCUGUGAAAACUCGCAAAAAUAGAAGGCCCGCGUCGUCCCAGUACUGUUUUUUGCCGUAUACGACGCUGUGUCGUUGUUGGGCGGGCUGGAGUUUUAUUCUCUUGCUUGCUCUUCUUUGGGUCGUUUCUAAUUCUGGCCUCUCUUUUUUUCCCCUAAUAUAUUGCCCUGAAACUUUUUAAUCA